Molecule: ribosomal RNA, 512 nt
Filed under: Bacillus sp. AP6H6
Lineage: Bacteria; Bacillati; Bacillota; Bacilli; Caryophanales; Bacillaceae
Description: bacterial SSU rRNA
Rfam family: Bacterial small subunit ribosomal RNA
Source: RNAcentral
UAGGGAAUCUUCCGCAAUGGACGAAAGUCUGACGGAGCAACGCCGCGUGAGUGAUGAAGGCUUUCGGGUCGUAAAACUCUGUUGUUAGGGAAGAACAAGUACAAGAGUAACUGCUUGUACCUUGACGGUACCUAACCAGAAAGCCACGGCUAACUACGUGCCAGCAGCCGCGGUAAUACGUAGGUGGCAAGCGUUAUCCGGAAUUAUUGGGCGUAAAGCGCGCGCAGGCGGUUUCUUAAGUCUGAUGUGAAAGCCCACGGCUCAACCGUGGAGGGUCAUUGGAAACUGGGGAACUUGAGUGCAGAAGAGAAAAGCGGAAUUCCACGUGUAGCGGUGAAAUGCGUAGAGAUGUGGAGGAACACCAGUGGCGAAGGCGGCUUUUUGGUCUGUAACUGACGCUGAGGCGCGAAAGCGUGGGGAGCAAACAGGAUUAGAUACCCUGGUAGUCCACGCCGUAAACGAUGAGUGCUAAGUGUUAGAGGGUUUCCGCCCUUUAGUGCUGCAGCUAACGC